Engraulis encrasicolus (European anchovy) is the source of this 563-nucleotide long non-coding RNA. RefSeq lists it as uncharacterized. The transcript is spliced from 2 exons. The record is from RefSeq and is a predicted model, not a curated record. NCBI's taxonomy places the organism in Eukaryota, Metazoa, Chordata, Actinopteri, Clupeiformes, Engraulidae.
GGCUUUCACUCCAUGCAGCGAUUGGGGUUGUGAAAGACUGACUGAAAAGCCUAGGCUACGUGAAAACUAGAGAUGCACCAGAUCCUGAUUUUUAGAACACCCACCGUUGACAGAACAGAAAAUGGACAACAUGAGUGCUCGAGAGAGAAGAAUGGGGAUGCUGCUGUAUUGGAGUCAUGUUCAAUAAUGGCUUUCACAACAACAAAAGAGCCCACUGCAGGAGUCCUGGGAUACUCAAGGUUGUCCCAAUGACAAUGUCAAAAAAGCAACAAGCAACAGCAGACAUUGCCGUCCCUCUGGACAUCUUGAAGACGUAGAACUAAAUAGCAUAGUUAUGGAGUUACAGAUACAAGCCCCAGAAACUGAUUAGGAUGCCCUUAAGACUUUGUUCAUUGAAGUUGAUUGAUGAUUAUGGAUUAGUGAAAUGUCGAUUUGAAAUGUAUCAAAAGAUUAUGACGAAUGCCGGUUCAGUGAUGUUUGUCUUUUUGACCUUUCUCUCUUUUAAUGUUUGAUUUUAUUUUUUGUCAGUAUGUUUAUAUUCUGUAUAAAAUCAUAUAGGUUAA